UGGGGAGUAUUGCACAAUGGGGAGGACCCUGAUGCAGCGACGCCGCGUGAGUGAAGAAGUAAUUCGUUAUGUAAAGCUCUAUCAGCAGGGAAGAAGAAAUGACGGUACCUGAGUAAGAAGCCCCGGCUAACUACGUGCCAGCAGCCGCGGUAAUACGUAGGGGCGAAGCGUUAUCCGGAUUUACUGGGUGUAAAGGGAGCGUAGACGGCGAUGCAAGCCAGAUGUGAAAGCCCGCGGCUCAACUGCGGGACUGCAUUUGGAACUGUAUGGCUGGAGUGCAGGAGAGGCAGGCGGAAUUCCUAGUGUAGCGGUGAAAUGCGUAGAUAUUAGGAGGAACACCAGUGGCGAAGGCGGCCUCUGGACUGUAACUGACGUUGAGGCUCGAAAGCGUGGGGAGCAAACAGGAUUAGAUACC
This 415-nucleotide ribosomal RNA is filed under the name uncultured bacterium. RNAcentral describes it as "bacterial SSU rRNA". It matches the Rfam family "Bacterial small subunit ribosomal RNA", at positions 355 to 786 of the family's 1533-position model. The record is from RNAcentral.